GACGAACGCUGGCGGCGUGCUUAACACAUGCAAGUCGAACGGAAAGGCCCUGCUUUUGUGGGGUGCUCGAGUGGCGAACGGGUGAGUAACACGUGAGUAACCUGCCCUUGACUUUGGGAUAACUUCAGGAAACUGGGGCUAAUACCGGAUAGGAGCUCCUGCUGCAUGGUGGGGGUUGGAAAGUUUCGGCGGUUGGGGAUGGACUCGCGGCUUAUCAGCUUGUUGGUGGGGUAGUGGCUUACCAAGGCUUUGACGGGUAGCCGGCCUGAGAGGGUGACCGGCCACAUUGGGACUGAGAUACGGCCCAGACUCCAACGGGAGGCAGCAGUGGGGAAUAUUGCACAAUGGGCGGAAGCUUGAUGCAGCAACGCCGCGUGCGGGAUGACGGCCUUCGGGUUGUAAACCGCUUUCGCCUGUGACGAAGCGUGAGUGACGGUAAUGGGUAAAGAAGCACCGGCUAACUACGUG
This 468-nucleotide ribosomal RNA is filed under the name uncultured bacterium. Its description in RNAcentral is "partial 16S ribosomal RNA". It matches the Rfam family "Bacterial small subunit ribosomal RNA", at positions 28 to 507 of the family's 1533-position model. The record is from RNAcentral.